This 254-nucleotide ribosomal RNA is filed under the name uncultured bacterium. RNAcentral describes it as "partial 16S ribosomal RNA". It matches the Rfam family "Bacterial small subunit ribosomal RNA", at positions 524 to 777 of the family's 1533-position model. The record is from RNAcentral.
UACGUAGGGUGCGAGCGUUAAUCGGAAUUACUGGGCGUAAAGCGUGCGCAGGCGGUUUUGUAAGCCAGAUGUGAAAGCCCUGGGCUCAACCUGGGAAUGGCGAUGGAUACUGGGAGGCUAGAGUGUGAUAGAGGAUGGUGGAAUUCCCGGUGUAGCGGUGAAAUGCGUAGAGAUCGGGAGGAACACCAGUGGCGAAGGCGGCCAUCUGGAUCAACACUGACGCUGAGGCACGAAAGCGUGGGGAGCAAACAGGG